CGGUCCAGACUCCUACGGGAGGAGCGUAGGGAAUUCUUCCGCAUGGCGAAAGCCUGACGGAGCAACGCCGCGUGAGUGAUGAAGGUCUUCGGAUCGUAAAACUCUGUUAUUAGGGAAGAACAAAUGUGUAAGUAACUAUGCACGUCUUGACGGUACCUAAUCAGAAAGCCACGGCUAACUACGUGCCAGCAGCCGCGGUAA
Molecule: ribosomal RNA, 201 nt
Filed under: Staphylococcus epidermidis
Lineage: Bacteria; Bacillati; Bacillota; Bacilli; Caryophanales; Staphylococcaceae
Description: partial 16S ribosomal RNA
Rfam family: Bacterial small subunit ribosomal RNA
Source: RNAcentral